UACAGAGACCUCAAGCGUUAUCCGGAAUCAUUGGGCGUAAAGCGUACCGAUAGGUGGUUUAUAUAGUUUUGGGUAAAAGCCAGAAGCUCAACUUCUGCGUUUGCUCAAAAUACUUAUAGACUAGAGGGGCAAAGAGGUGCUUGGAACGAAUGGUGUAGUAGUGAAAUGCGUUGAUAUCAUUCGGAACACCGAAAGCGAAGGCAGAGCACUGGGUGCCACCUGACACUGCUAGGACGAGAGCGUGGGGAGCGAAUGGG
RNAcentral lists this ribosomal RNA (257 nucleotides) under uncultured bacterium. RNAcentral's name for it is "partial 16S ribosomal RNA". It matches the Rfam family "Bacterial small subunit ribosomal RNA", at positions 524 to 776 of the family's 1533-position model. The record is from RNAcentral.